GUUGUAAUUUGGGUUCCUACGGAUGCGCCUGAUAAGCGUGAGGUCGGUGGUUCAAAUCCACCCGGGCCCA
This 70-nucleotide transfer RNA is filed under the name Gemmatimonadota bacterium. Its description in RNAcentral is "tRNA-Ile". The stretch from base 11 to 70 matches the Rfam family "tRNA". Rfam says of the family: Transfer RNA (tRNA) molecules are approximately 80 nucleotides in length. Their secondary structure includes four short double-helical elements and three loops (D, anti-codon, and T loops). Further hydrogen bonds mediate the characteristic L-shaped molecular structure. tRNAs have two regions of fundamental functional importance: the anti-codon, which is responsible for specific mRNA codon recognition, and the 3' end, to which the tRNAs corresponding amino acid is attached (by aminoacyl-tRNA synthetases). tRNAs cope with the degeneracy of the genetic code in two manners: having more than one tRNA (with a specific anti-codon) for a particular amino acid; and 'wobble' base-pairing, i.e. permitting non-standard base-pairing at the 3rd anti-codon position. Lineage: Bacteria; Pseudomonadati; Gemmatimonadota. The record is from RNAcentral.